Long non-coding RNA from Solanum tuberosum (potato), 600 nucleotides. RefSeq lists it as uncharacterized. NCBI's taxonomy places the organism in Eukaryota, Viridiplantae, Streptophyta, Magnoliopsida, Solanales, Solanaceae. The transcript has 5 exons. The record is from RefSeq and is a predicted model, not a curated record.
UCUAACUACCGUGUCUAGAAAAACCUUGCCAAGGAAGCUCGGGUUCUAGAGAUUCAAGCAAGGAAUGUUGCUCUUGGGAAGAAUGUAAAAGACCCUGCAGCUACAAAGGCAUCUAAGGGUAAGGAGGCAUCAUAUUAUAGGGUUACAUGCAAGGAUAAUGGAAGAGGAAUGCCACAUGAUCAUCUGCUGUUUGUGAGCGUUUGUGGGAGUUACUGCUGUGAACAAAGUAUGUAUUGAAACAGACACGUGGGAAAUUUGGUCUUUGCGCAAAGAUGGCAUUGAUUUGGUCCAAGAUGAAAUCCAGAUUGUCAUUGAAAGGAACUGGACAAUGUACCGAGUGUGUAGUUCUUGAAUAGUUGUGACAGAUGUUCUCCUAAGUUUCACCUCAUUCAUGCGUUGAAAGCAAACUUAGUUAAUGCUGAGAAGGUUGCUGUAUCUGGGAAGAAGAGGAGCCAAAAACUUUAUAGGAGGCACUCCGGCAGUGGAGACUUUUGAUCAACUGCAACAGAGAAUUCCUGAAAGAAUCAUUGAGCAUGCUGUCCGUGGCAUGCUUCCCAAAGGGAGGCUUGGUAGACAACUAUUUACACAUCUUAAGGUAUA